CCUACGGGGGGCAGCAGUGAGGAAUAUUGGUCAAUGGCCGUAAGGCUGAACCAGCCAAGUAGCGUGAGGGAAGACUGCCCUAUGGGUUGUAAACCUCUUUUAUGCGGGGAUAAAGGUGUCCACGUGUGGAUGUUUGCAGGUACCGCAUGAAUAAGGACCGGCUAAUUCCGUGCCAGCAGCUGCGGUAAUACGGAAGGUCCGGGCGUUAUCCGGAUUUAUUGGGUUUAAAGGGAGCGUAGGCCGGUCUUUAAGCGUGCCGUGAAAUUUUGUGGCGCAACCAUGAGAGUGCGGCGCGAACUGGAGGCCUUGAGUGCGCGGAAGGCAGGCGGAAUUCGUGGUGUAGCGGUGAAAUGCUUAGAUAUCACGAAGAACCCCGAUUGCGAAGGCAGCCUGCCGCAGCGUUACUGACGCUGAAGCUCGAAAGCGCGGGUAUCGAACAGGAUUAGAUACCCCAGUAGUC
This 460-nucleotide ribosomal RNA is filed under the name uncultured bacterium. RNAcentral's name for it is "partial 16S ribosomal RNA". It matches the Rfam family "Bacterial small subunit ribosomal RNA", at positions 338 to 795 of the family's 1533-position model. The record is from RNAcentral.